CCCCUAGCCUGAGACAGGUUCUGAGGGCAGGUGGCUUGGGUGGAGGGGAUCCGGAAAACUGUAGAUGAGUGGAAGGGAAGGGAAGGAGCCCCGGUGGGCUGUGCUGGUGGGCAGGCCACGGCCGUGGGCACCUGGGCUCCCCUGCCUGCAGGAGCCCCCAGUCACCAGCUCACCGGCCAUCAGGAUACUGACCCGCCAACUCCCACCAGGUCUUGGCUGCUGGCCGCCCCACGCUGGGGCUGAUGGCUGCUCCAUCCGUGGAGAUAUUUUCAAGGCCCACCAUGCUCCCUACGCCCCCUGCCGCUGGCCAGCAGGCGAGGAGAGGACCACAGAGCCCGCUGCAGGAGCUCGCACGGCGUGCUUCUCUGGACUCCUGUCUGCAAGCUUGUGACAAGCCUGGUGUGUAGGGCUGGAAGUGAGAUGAUCAACUGAGAAAAUGUCAGUAACCAGUCAACCAGGACAGAAGGUUAACAUCCACUAGUAAAAAGGCUGUACAAAUCAGCAAGAAAAAGGCAAACAAAUAGCAAUUUGGAAAAGGACACCAAGAGGUGACGUGCACAAGUGCCACCAGCUGUCAGACACACACGAGAGCACACAUGACCCGGGAGCAAAGAAGCAGGAAACAAAAGGACAAGAUGCCACGGGCCCACCAGGUUGGCACAGACUGAAAAGCAAACUCGGACAUCACCAGGGAUGUGGGGAGAGAGCCCUGGGGGGAAAGCAUUACGGUGCAGAGCUCUCGGUGGGCACUGGCACACCUACCAAGCUACAGGAUCCGCACGCGUGCUCCCCUUUGUCCAAGAUGCCCACUGUGAGAAGCAGCCCGGGA
Long non-coding RNA from Balaenoptera ricei (Rice's whale), 829 nucleotides. RefSeq lists it as uncharacterized. The transcript has 3 exons. NCBI's taxonomy places the organism in Eukaryota, Metazoa, Chordata, Mammalia, Artiodactyla, Balaenopteridae. The record is from RefSeq and is a predicted model, not a curated record.